GGCUGGUAUGAUGGCUGGUUUAUUUGAUGGUUUAUCCAAACAAUUGGCUGGGUUUGACAUUUCAUCUAGACAAAUGAGAUCUUGACACAUACAAGCUUCCAUUCAUUCAGUAAUGGUAACAAAUGGAACACAUGCAUUGAAGCCCACAUAAGUAUAUAUUUCUCUCUGUCAGAAUUUUUUUCAUUUGGCAAGUUUUUUUCUCUCUCUUCUCUCCCCCUCUCUCUCUCUCUCGUACGCUCUUCUCUCCCUCCUCUCUGCCUCAUCUCAUCCAUCACCGUAACAUCCACCACAACCCACACCACCACCUACAAAUCAAUCACUCGUCAGAGGGAGGGAGUGGCCGAGUGUGAGAAUAUUUUCUGGGGAGGGAAGUUCCGGUGAGGAAGAGAGAGUUCCGGCCGUGAUAGAGAGUUCCGGUGGCGUUUCAUGGCGGUGUUUGGCGACGGUGAUGCUUCUUGCUCCUUCGUUCAUCUGGUUUGAUCUUAGUUUCUAUACUAUUUUUAUUUUUAUUUUUAUUUUUUCGUUGCUUUUUUUUUUGGUUGAAGAUUGGAGGUGGUGGUGAUGUGUGGUGGUUAUGGUGGAUGGUGAUGUAUCUCCAAAUUCAUCUUCUACAUUUCAUCUUUCUCAAUUUGUCAAUUUUCAUCUCUGUAAUUGGUACUCUGUGUUGUAUUUUUGCAGGCUCCAUGGAAGAAUAAUGCUCCUUCAGACCUCCACCUUCCUCCAAGCCAGCCAAAUCUGGUGGUGACAAGCAGAAGAAGGUUCGUUUUUCUCUUCAAAGUUUUUUUUUAAUUUUUUUUUUUUGCAGCUUUUGUUUCAUCGUAUGUGUAAUUANN
RNAcentral lists this long non-coding RNA (833 nucleotides) under Trifolium pratense (red clover). RNAcentral's name for it is "long non-coding RNA (TPRA_LNC010652)". Lineage: Eukaryota; Viridiplantae; Streptophyta; Magnoliopsida; Fabales; Fabaceae. The record is from RNAcentral.